Molecule: ribosomal RNA, 497 nt
Filed under: uncultured bacterium
Lineage: Bacteria
Description: bacterial SSU rRNA
Rfam family: Bacterial small subunit ribosomal RNA
Source: RNAcentral
GAUGAACGCUAGCGGCAGGCCUAAUACAUGCAAGUCGAACGCUCAGUAGCAAUACUGGGAGUGGCGCACGGGUGCGUAACGCGUACACAAUCUACCUCUAAGCGGGGACACCUCCUGGAACGGGGAUUAAUACCGCAUAAUAUGCCGAAGUCGCAUGACUUUGGUAUUAAAGCAGCAAUGCACUUAGAGAUGAGUGUGCGUCCCAUUAGGUAGUUGGUGAGGUAACGGCUCACCAAGCCUAUGAUGGGUAGCCGGUCUGAGAGGAUGGUCGGCCACACGGGCACUGAGACACGGGCCCGACUCCUACGGGAGGCAGCAGUAAGGAAUAUUGGUCAAAUGGUGGAAACACUGAACCAGCCAUGCCGCGUGGAGGAAUAAGGUCCUACGGAUUGUAAACUACCUUUUGUACGAGGAAGAAAAUAGUUAGAUUUAUCUAAUUUGUACGGUACUCGUAGAAUAAGACACCGGCUAACUCCGUGCCACGCAGCCGCGGUAAU